GGCUGGUCAUAGUGCAGUGGUUUUUACAACUAAUUGAUCACAAACAGUUACAAAUUUCUUUGUUCUUUUUCCAAUACCACUGUUCCACUUGACUAGCCAAUA
Unclassified non-coding RNA from Gorilla gorilla gorilla (western lowland gorilla), 102 nucleotides. It matches the Rfam family "Y RNA". Rfam says of the family: Y RNAs are components of the Ro ribonucleoprotein particle (Ro RNP), in association with Ro60 and La proteins. The Y RNAs and Ro60 and La proteins are well conserved, but the function of the Ro RNP is not known. The record is from Ensembl. Lineage: Eukaryota; Metazoa; Chordata; Mammalia; Primates; Hominidae.